Long non-coding RNA from Homo sapiens (human), 1520 nucleotides. Ensembl annotates it as SCN1A and SCN9A antisense RNA 1. Its record names the gene SCN1A-AS1. The record is from Ensembl. NCBI's taxonomy places the organism in Eukaryota, Metazoa, Chordata, Mammalia, Primates, Hominidae.
CAGUUUCUGUAAGUGAGAUGGACAUAGAAAGUAAAGUCCUUUAAUUUUGGUAAUAAGUUGCCUGCCAAGAAAGGAUUAUUACUAUGAAUUUGUUUUUUAUUCUUCUUGAGGUAGAGAUAUUUUUAGAGAAAAAGAGAGAUUGAAUAAGGGGAAGAAAUAAGAAAAUCAUUGUCUGUGCUAACCCUUUUACCAUAAUUCACAAUGUAAGCUUGAAAUCAGAUUGCUAUGUUAUGAGGUUACAAAAGGCCAUCAGCCACAUGUACUGAGCAAAACACUGCCUUGUGGAUUAGAGAAGCAGGGGACACAGGGAAGAGAAGAGGGAGGAAGAGAAAGGGAAAAGGAGCAGGAGAGAAAGAGAAAGCUUACCUUAGAAGAAAAUAAUGUCGUUAGGUUAUUCUGCAGUUUAAUGUUUGACUUUACAUAUUUCUUUAACAAUGUCUUACCUGUGUGUACAGAUACUACCUGUUGUUUUCACUUAUGUUACUAAGAUUCAUGGUUAAGGUGUUCAGAGUUAUUUACUAUAAAUGUGGUCAUUUGGAGAGAAAUUGUUAUAAAAUAUGUCAAAAAUUACAUCAAUAAACAACCUUAGAGAUAUUAAAUAGACAUCUUCAAUUUCUGGCAAGUAUUUUAGAGCCUGAAGUGUUGUAAAAUGAGAUAAAUAGUGUGUGGGAAAAUUCAGUUUCCUCUGACAAAUCAUGUUUAUGUUAAUGUGCCAUGUGAAGCUGAAAGAACAAAAUCUAGUUAAACAACAACAACAAUAACAAUAUCCUUCAUAUUUUGACAAUAGUGAUGGGAUGCACAUUUCUCUUUCUAGAGUUCUCAGAAGACAAAGAUGGCAGAGAUAAUAGAAAAUAUUAACUAACAUAUUAAGAUAGGAAAAACUCAUGACGCUCUUUCUGAAGACCAGCAAACUGGCUUAUAAGUUUUUGGCUGACUUAAUAUGUGAGCUGACAGAAUGCAGAGACCACGUUGUAUAUGAAGCAUCCACUUUGCCUUGUACACCAGGGCAUUCAAUAACCACUUAAUAACUACAACCCUGAUGGCCCAGUUCCCCUUCCUAGAGGCAACUACUACUACUUAUCUCCCAUAUAUAUUUCCAGGAGUGAUGGUGAGGAGGAAUUGUGCCAGCUUGCUUCUUCACUGCCAUUUUGGAACCAGAACUCAGAACCUGAGAAAGAUGAAUGAAAUUUAGUGUUUCCCAUCCCCGAGAGACACCCAGCAUCCACAACUUCACACUCUGAUGCCAUUGUGUAUUUAUGCAAGAAAUACCAUAACUAAGAUGAGGUCUCGCUAUGUUGCCUAGGCUAGUCUUGAACUCCUGGCCUCAAGUGAUCCUUCUGCCUCAGCAUCGGGAGUCACUGGGAUUAAAGGCAUGAGCCACCAUGCUCAGGAACUUGACAUCAUCAGACAGUAAAUCAAGAGGUACUGACAACUGAGACUGAGUGAUGGUCCCUGCCUAGGAUUUGGAAUCUUUGCAUGAAAUAGGGACUCUAGCCACCAGCGACAAAGAAGUCAGGGAG